AGAGUUUGAUCAUGGCUCAGGAUGAACGCUAGCGGCAGGCUUAACACAUGCAAGUCGAGGGGCAGCGGGUUGUAGCAAUACAAUGCCGGCGACCGGCGAAAGGGUGAGUAACGCGUGAGCAACAUGCCGGUACUGGAGGAUAGUCGAUGGAAACGUCGCGUAAUACUCCGUAACAACAGGGACCGCAUGAUCCUUGUUUAAGAGAUUUUAUCGAUAUCGGAUUGGCUCGCGUGCCAGUUAGCUAGUUGGCGGGUAACGGCCCACCAAGGCGACGAUGGCUAGGGUUCUGAGAGGAAGGUCCCCCACAUUGGAACUGAGACACGGUCCAGACUCCUACGGGAGGCAGCAGUGAGGAAUAUUGGUCAAUGGCCGAGAGGCUGAACCAGCCAUGCCCGCGUGCGGGAGGACGGCCCUAUGGGUUGUAAACUGCUUUUAUGACGGGAAUAAAGUUCGCCACGUGUGGUGUUUUGUAUGUACCGUAUGAAUAAGGACCGGCUAAUUCCGUGCCAGCCGCCGC
This 517-nucleotide ribosomal RNA is filed under the name uncultured bacterium. RNAcentral describes it as "bacterial SSU rRNA". It matches the Rfam family "Bacterial small subunit ribosomal RNA", at positions 8 to 518 of the family's 1533-position model. The record is from RNAcentral.